This 490-nucleotide ribosomal RNA is filed under the name uncultured bacterium. RNAcentral's name for it is "partial 16S ribosomal RNA". It matches the Rfam family "Bacterial small subunit ribosomal RNA", at positions 30 to 507 of the family's 1533-position model. The record is from RNAcentral.
AUUGAACGCUGGCGGCAGGCCUAACACAUGCAAGUCGAACGGUAACAGGAAGCAGCUUGCUGCUUUGCUGACGAGUGGCGGACGGGUGAGUCAUGUCUGGGAAACUGCCUGAUGGAGGGGGAUAACUACUGGAAACGGUAGCUAAUACCGCAUAACGUCGCAAGACCAAAGAGGGGGACCUUCGGGCCUCUUGCCAUCGGAUGUGCCCAGAUGGGAUUAGCUAGUAGGUGGGGUAACGGCUCACCUAGGCGACGAUCCCUAACUGGUCUGAGAGGAUGACCAGCCACACUGGAACUGAGACACGGUCCAGACUCCUACGGGAGGCAGCAGUGGGGAAUAUUGCACAAUGGGCGCAAGCCUGAUGCAGCCAUGCCGCGUGUAUGAAGAAGGCCUUCGGGUUGUAAAGUACUUUCAGCGGGGAGGAAGGGAGUAAAGUUAAUACCUUUGCUCAUUGACGUUACCCGCAGAAGAAGCACCGGCUAACUCCGUG